Molecule: ribosomal RNA, 256 nt
Filed under: uncultured bacterium
Lineage: Bacteria
Description: partial 16S ribosomal RNA
Rfam family: Bacterial small subunit ribosomal RNA
Source: RNAcentral
CCUACGGGGGGCAGCAGUGGGGAAUAUUGCACAAUGGGGGGAACCCUGAUGCAGCGACGCCGCGUGAGUGAAGAAGUAUUUCGGUAUGUAAAGCUCUAUCAGUAGGGAAGAAGAUGACGGUACCUGACUAAGAAGCCCCGGCUAACUACGUGCCAGCAGCCGCGGUAAUACGUAGGGGGCAAGCGUUAUCCGGAUUUACUGGGGGUAAAGGGAGCGUAGACGGUGCAGCAAGUCUGAUGUGAAAGGGCGGGGCCCA